This 1246-nucleotide long non-coding RNA is filed under the name Bos indicus x Bos taurus (hybrid cattle). RNAcentral's name for it is "lncRNA (ENSBIXG00000015034.1)". The record is from RNAcentral. Lineage: Eukaryota; Metazoa; Chordata; Mammalia; Artiodactyla; Bovidae.
GAGUGUUUAUACACUGUCUCAUUAUAUCUCAAUAACUCGAUGUGCUCUGUGUUAUUAUUUUAUCAUUUUAUAGAUGAGGAUACAGGUUCACAGAGGAUCGGGAAUAUGCCUGAGUUCAUGGCAGAGCCAACCGGCCUCAUUCCAGAGCCUAAGAAACCCAUCAAUUCUGUGCCCAGCUGCAUAGAACGGAAAGGAAACCCAAAGAAUCUUGAGAGAACUCAUGAAGGAUAUGAAGCAGACAAGUGAGAUGAUCUGAUUAGAUUUUAGAAAGAUCAACUUUUGGCUGGAUAAAGCUGAGACUAAAAGCAGAGUGGCAAACUACUGCAGUGGUCCAUGCAAAAAAAAAAAAAAGUGGUAUCUUGAAGUAUGCAAGCAGCAAAGCGAAGGACAGACACUUGGGGGUAGGUGAGUCAAUGGAGUUAUGGAUAGUCCAAGUCCUGGGCCUCAUCCUACACUGUCAAAAAGCACAUGGCAAUUUUCUGGAUAGAGAAGAAUAAUCAAUAAUAGUGAUCACUAAUGUUUAUUGGGGAUAACCUGGUGGCUCAAACGGUUGAGUCUGCCUGCAAGGCAGGAGGCCCGGGUUCAAUCCCUGGGUCAGGAAGAUCCCCUGCAGAAGGAAAUGGCAACCCACUCCAGUAUUCUUGCCUGGAGAAUCCCAUGGAUGGAGGAGCCUGGUGGGCUACAGUCCAUGGGGUCGUAGAGUCAGACACGCCUGAGUGACUUCACUCAGUGUUUAUCGAAUAUUUAUUACAUUCUAGGCACUGCUCUAAACACUUAACAUACAAGUUUAGUCCUCACAACAACUCUCUGUGCUAAUUAUUAUUAUUUUCUCAUUUUACAGGUGAAGAAAUUGAGCAUUAAGAGAAUCAAUAAGUAGCCCCGCCAUCUCAAUUGGUAAGCAACAGGCAGACACACAAGCACAGGAAUCCUGACUCCAGCCCUGUACUAUUCCACACAGUACUCUAGUGCCUCUUGCUGAAAGACGGUUUCAAACCUUGAGAGCUCCUUAUUGCCAGAGCCGCAUCUCAGCUGCCUGGGCUGGCUGCUAAGAUGUCUAAUCCUGCUUCUGCCUGCAGUGCUUCUGUUCCCCCUGACUCCUAGCUUAUCCCUCAAAGCCAGCUUAGACUGAUAGCCCAUUGUGCUGACUUAAUGCCUGCAUCUGUGCCUUCCCAGAGCCAGCUGACACGUGAUCUCACUUCUGAACUUUCCAUUUCAAAGCCCUCAGUGAGCACCUGCUCCCUGGCGC